Zingiber officinale is the source of this 200-nucleotide small nuclear RNA. RefSeq annotates it as U2 spliceosomal RNA. The transcript has a single exon. The record is from RefSeq and is a predicted model, not a curated record. Lineage: Eukaryota; Viridiplantae; Streptophyta; Magnoliopsida; Zingiberales; Zingiberaceae.
AUAUCUUUCUCACCCUUUUGGAUAAAAUCAAGUGUAGUAUAUGUUCUUAUUAAUUUAAUAAUUGAUAUGUCAGUCAUCAGUCUAUUAUGAUGUUAAAUUAAUUUUUUAUUACGAGAGAAUUCACCCUAGUAGUUUGCUACUGGGACCCUUUUGUGUAUUGCCCUUGCGUGACACCAUAGUAUGGGUUUGAUGCAUCUAGC